RNAcentral lists this ribosomal RNA (253 nucleotides) under uncultured bacterium. RNAcentral describes it as "partial 16S ribosomal RNA". It matches the Rfam family "Bacterial small subunit ribosomal RNA", at positions 524 to 776 of the family's 1533-position model. The record is from RNAcentral.
UACGUAGGGCGCAAGCGUUGUCCGGAAUUAUUGGGCGUAAAGAGCUCGUCGGCGGCCUGUUACGUCUGCUGUGAAAUCCCGGGGCUUAACCCCGGGCGUGCAGUGGAUACGGGCAGGCUGGAGGCAGGCAGGGGAGAACGGAAUUCCCGGUGUAGCGGUGAAAUGCGCAGAUAUCGGGAGGAACACCGGUGGCGAAGGCGGUUCUCUGGGCCUGUACUGACGCUGAGGAGCGAAAGCGUGGGGAGCGAACAGG